RNAcentral lists this ribosomal RNA (1857 nucleotides) under Escherichia coli. Its description in RNAcentral is "partial 23S ribosomal RNA". It matches the Rfam family "Bacterial large subunit ribosomal RNA", at positions 1007 to 2843 of the family's 2925-position model. The record is from RNAcentral. Lineage: Bacteria; Pseudomonadati; Pseudomonadota; Gammaproteobacteria; Enterobacterales; Enterobacteriaceae.
GUCGUGAAGAGGGAAACAACCCAGACCGCCAGCUAAGGUCCCAAAGUCAUGGUUAAGUGGGAAACGAUGUGGGAAGGCCCAGACAGCCAGGAUGUUGGCUUAGAAGCAGCCAUCAUUUAAAGAAAGCGUAAUAGCUCACUGGUCGAGUCGGCCUGCGCGGAAGAUGUAACGGGGCUAAACCAUGCACCGAAGCUGCGGCAGCGACGCUGAUGCGUUGUUGGGUAGGGGAGCGUUCUGUAAGCCUGUGAAGGUGUGCUGUGAGGCAUGCUGGAGGUAUCAGAAGUGCGAAUGCUGACAUAAGUAACGAUAAAGCGGGUGAAAAGCCCGCUCGCCGGAAGACCAAGGGUUCCUGUCCAACGUUAAUCGGGGCAGGGUGAGUCGACCCCUAAGGCGAGGCCGAAAGGCGUAGUCGAUGGGAAACAGGUUAAUAUUCCUGUACUUGGUGUUACUGCGAAGGGGGGACGGAGAAGGCUAUGUUGGCCGGGCGACGGUUGUCCCGGUUUAAGCGUGUAGGCUGGUUUUCCAGGCAAAUCCGGAAAACUAAGGCUGAGGCGUGAUGACGAGGCACUACGGUGCUGAAGCAACAAAUGCCCUGCUUCCAGGAAAAGCCUCUAAGCAUCAGGUAACAUCAAAUCGUACCCCAAACCGACACAGGUGGUCAGGUAGAGAAUACCAAGGCGCUUGAGAGAACUCGGGUGAAGGAACUAGGCAAAAUGGUGCCGUAACUUCGGGAGAAGGCACGCUGAUAUGUAGGUGAAGUCCCUCGCGGAUGGAGCUGAAAUCAGUCGAAGAUACCAGCUGGCUGCAACUGUUUAUUAAAAACACAGCACUGUGCAAACACGAAAGUGGACGUAUACGGUGUGACGCCUGCCCGGUGCCGGAAGGUUAAUUGAUGGGGUCAGCGCAAGCGAAGCUCUUGAUCGAAGCCCCGGUAAACGGCGGCCGUAACUAUAACGGUCCUAAGGUAGCGAAAUUCCUUGUCGGGUAAGUUCCGACCUGCACGAAUGGCGUAAUGAUGGCCAGGCUGUCUCCACCCGAGACUCAGUGAAAUUGAACUCGCUGUGAAGAUGCAGUGUACCCGCGGCAAGACGGAAAGACCCCGUGAACCUUUACUAUAGCUUGACACUGAACAUUGAGCCUUGAUGUGUAGGAUAGGUGGGAGGCUUUGAAGUGUGGACGCCAGUCUGCAUGGAGCCGACCUUGAAAUACCACCCUUUAAUGUUUGAUGUUCUAACGUUGACCCGUAAUCCGGGUUGCGGACAGUGUCUGGUGGGUAGUUUGACUGGGGCGGUCUCCUCCUAAAGAGUAACGGAGGAGCACGAAGGUUGGCUAAUCCUGGUCGGACAUCAGGAGGUUAGUGCAAUGGCAUAAGCCAGCUUGACUGCGAGCGUGACGGCGCGAGCAGGUGCGAAAGCAGGUCAUAGUGAUCCGGUGGUUCUGAAUGGAAGGGCCAUCGCUCAACGGAUAAAAGGUACUCCGGGGAUAACAGGCUGAUACCGCCCAAGAGUUCAUAUCGACGGCGGUGUUUGGCACCUCGAUGUCGGCUCAUCACAUCCUGGGGCUGAAGUAGGUCCCAAGGGUAUGGCUGUUCGCCAUUUAAAGUGGUACGCGAGCUGGGUUUAGAACGUCGUGAGACAGUUCGGUCCCUAUCUGCCGUGGGCGCUGGAGAACUGAGGGGGGCUGCUCCUAGUACGAGAGGACCGGAGUGGACGCAUCACUGGUGUUCGGGUUGUCAUGCCAAUGGCACUGCCCGGUAGCUAAAUGCGGAAGAGAUAAGUGCUGAAAGCAUCUAAGCACGAAACUUGCCCCGAGAUGAGUUCUCCCUGACUCCUUGAGAGUCCUGAAGGAACGUUGAAG